AAUGCGGAAAUUAAAAAAUUUUCUUCAACAAACGAAGUCAUUUUUUUUCAAAAUAGAAAGGAGUCUAACCAUUGUCCCAUUGGCCAUCGAUACAAUCGAAUACUUGGACAUAUAGGGAUACAACCCUUACAUAGUUUUAAAAUUAAACUAAUAAAAGAAACUACUAAGAUAUCUACAAAGUAAGAUGUUGGUCCCCGAACUUGAGGACUCAUGAACUGGCUUGAAGGAUCACCUAGUCCAAGACCUUUGAACCAAAACUACCAUCUCCAUGAACCAACACCCUACAUUGUAGAAAACAUAGAAAUAUGAGUUAGCACAAAAAUGUACUAAGUAUGGUAGCAAUGCACAAAACCAUUAAAACAUGCAUGAAAAGGGACAUUUCAUUUGAAAUCAUGCUUUAUGCCAUUUUUGAACAUCAUCUUUGAAAUAGUUGGAGAAUGCAACCAAUAAGGCAACUCACAUACAUUUCAUUAUAACCUCAGAAAUAUCAUUAUAACAACAAGCAUAGUUUCCAAUAUCAAUAUAAUACACAUCCCAAUCUUCACAAUACAUAGCCUCCAAUUAUACAAGGAUACAUGGUUAAAUACAUAGACCAUCACAUCAUGAAGUAAUCAUCACAUAAGCAACCUCUAAAACACACUUGUGCAAUGUAUGGGAACUAAAAUGUAUUUACAAUGUACAACACAAAUCCAAUAUCACAUUCAUACUCAUUUCAUGGUAAAGCCAUUACCUUAGUAACUUCUAGGAAACACUUGUGCAAUGUGGGGUUAGCACCCCAUAAUACCAACCCUACUAAGUACUCCUUUGAAGCUACCUUAGUGAUGCAUUACAUCUUUAGACUUCAUUAUAUGCAAUAUUCACAAAUUAAGGAAAUAGUCAUGUACAUUACUCGAAUACAAGGAAAGUCAUGCAUACCAAAUAUCCAUUCAAUAUACAUACAUGCAUUCGAAUCUUAUCAAAAUGCAAAGGAACCAUCCCAUGACAUCCUACUAAGUCUACUUGUGCAAUGUGGAAGUGAAGUCCCAUACCCCCACUCCUACUAAGUAAACUCACCAAGAAGUCAUAGUAUAGUUCAUAUCUCAUUCAUUAACUUCAUUAUUAUAGGGAAAAGUUGCCAUAACCGACAUAGAUCAUGUGAGCUACAUGGAAUCCGAUGUCAUAUAACCCCACACUGAAAGAAGGCGUUCUUACUUGCCGAAGGUAGAACUAAUUAUAUUUAACUUCUAAGUGGAUCCACUAGAUAAGUCCUAUGUUUGGCACAUAGUUAUGGGAUAGGGAGAUUGCUAUUAGAAACCCAACCUAUUGCAUUAGAGGAGGAGCUUUCACCUCAUGAGUUUACUAUAGAUGAUCCAACCUAUUGCAUUAGCGGAGGGGCCUUUUCCUCAUUGUCCAUAUCCACUCGGUUCUAAGCAUUAUUUCCCAAUUAUACAUAAUUAGUAUGGAAUUGUAUCUACAUGUGUGACGACAUACUUUACCCUUCGUUCAAUAAAACUCACUAAAUAGCUCAUAGAUUCAUUUAAAGGUGAGAACUAACUUUCAACCUUAGAAUCAUCAUUAGUAUGUGAGUAUAACUUUCACACUAAGAUCAUGUGUUCUCAUGAGAAUGGACAUUCAAUCAACACAAUAGGAUCAUCCUGGUCAUGUACAUUUUAUGCAUAAUAAUGAGUAAAGGUGCAUAUGAGAACUAUACUUUCAAUUAAAACCAUUGAUACAUCAUAUUCAUGUUUAUGCAUAGAGUGUGUGUGCGCGCGAGAUUGUCUUCAAAACGGCACAACAACAACAACAGUAUCAUCAUAGACACCUCCCUUCUCAAGGGGAUCACAACAUGUAAAUAAUAUCCCAACUCAUGUACGAUUCACAUAUAUUGCAUUUAUGAUCUUAGACCAUAUAAAUAAACAUAUCUAAUAUUCAUUACAAUAGACAUGGAUACAUUCAUCAUAGCAACACCAUCAUGAUCAUAACAUAACAUUUGUAUUCAUAUCGUAUCAUACUUGGUCAUAUAUAGGGUUGUAGGGGAGAGGGACCUUAUCUCAACACAACAAUACAUAUGACAAGUAAGCACCUCCACCAUAAGUGGAUCAACAAUUAAUUAUUAGAAUGCUUGACAAGUAAACACCCCCACCAUAAGUGGAUCAAUCCAUUCAUAUAUAAUAACUUCACCUAACAUACCUUCAUAGAAUUUCCCUUCAAGGCCAAGAGUCGAGAUCAAGUCUAACAUCUUAGAUUUGGCACAAUAGAUAGAAAAACAUCAUAAUCCAACAACAUAACCAAUAUGAUCAUUUUCAAGGUAAUUCAUAUCUACAAGAUUCUAUCAUAUUCCAUUUAUGUCUAGGUGAUCUAAACUAAGGUCAUUCAUCAAGAAAUUCAUCAACCCUAUAAGAUCACAUCUAACCCCUCAAUUUGCCUCUUUCAUGAAAUUACCCUAGACCAAAUCAAUUUCAUAUUAGAUUCAUAAGGUAAUCAAGAAUACAUGUAAAAAUAUACUUAGAUCAUGUAAUUACAUCAUAAACAACUCUAUUUCAAUCAAUUGAAUCAACUUCUAACAACAUUCAUUGUGUAGAGAAAAGCCAUAGCUAUGGUUGGGGGGAAACUCAUGGAUUCUUUAGAUUUGAAGUUAAAACCAUCUAAAAUCAGUAGUACUACCAAUAAUAAACAUAGUUUAAUCUUUAAGAACAACUUAGAAAGGAAUCCAUGGGGUUGAGUUGAAACCCUAGCUUUUGAAGAUUUCUAGAAUUGAAUUAAAAGCUUUUGAGAGAGUUCCAUGGGUGAUAGCUACCUUUGGAUGAAAACCAUCAUACCUUAGGUGUAGAAACCCACGAAAAUCCUAAGAUAAAGCCUCCAUCUUCAAGCCCCUAGGUUGGUUUCUUCAUUGGUUUUCAAUGGUGUUCUUGGAGAGAAGACUUUGGGAGGGAAAGGGGAUUUGAGUUUUUUUGAUUUGGGGUCUUGACUUGUGGUGAAUUAAUGAAUUAGUUUAGGGUCCUAUAUGUUUAUAUAAUUCAUUAAUUAAACACCUAACCGACCUCCCUGAAUCCCCACUUAAUUAACUAAUUAAAACACUAAACCUCAAAUUAAUCGAAAAGCUGUCAAAAAUAGUCCAACCUACGGCUAGCCUUCCACGGACCGUAGAUCAAUCUACUGGAUGUGGUUGGCUACCGUGGUUUGGGACUGUGGAUCUAAAUGUUGCAGGCUCCAAGAAAAACUAAGUAUGGACCUAUGCUCCUCAUCCACGGACCGUGGUCUGGGCUAUGGGGAGUGGAAGGCAUCCGUAGGUCACCACUUAGUGACCAAACCUAGCUUUCUAGGUAGCCUUGGGGGACUGUUUUGGGGUUCUCCUCAAGGACCCCUCGAGUGGUCUUAGGGGAGUCGUACCCGGACUUUCUACCCCUAAAAAUGAUAUUCUAAGUAUGGGAGACACUUCUACAAGUUUUCACCCUCAUACAACACUCCAAACUUUCAACGACAAGACCCUUAGAACUCACUAGUUCAAAUGACUAGUUUCCGGACGUUAUUGUCAUUUCUUGACGUUUGACCUCAAAUCCCCUCAAACUAAACUUGAAAAUCCAUAUUACAUUAUUUAAUCAAGUUUACAACUUCAACUCACAUGUGAAGCUCUAGUUUCACCUACUAGAUUACGUCAAGCUUCUGUUAGGUCUUACUAGUUUCUUCGGGGUGUUAUAAAGUUGGCCUUGCCACCUAAAUUUUCAGAUGUGCACCUGUUGUUUCAUGGCUCCAUUUUUUGAAAGUACGUGUUGGAGCCUUUUUUUGGUUCAGUAGUAUUGGGGCCAGAUUUGUCAUAUGAGGAGGAGCCUAUAACCAUUCUGGAUAGGAAGGUCUAAAAGUUUUUUACCAAAGAUUUGUUCAGUGAAGAUGAAGUGGAAGCACCGUUCAUUUGGAGAGGUGACUUGGGAGAUGGAGACAAACAUGUGUGAUAGAUAUCCCAGCUCUUCGAAGCUUCAUGUACUUUCUUUUACUUCAUGUUCAGGGAUGACCAUUAUUUUUAGUAGUGAAUAAUGUAAUGACUUGGCUGGUCAUUUUUGGAAAAUUUCAUUGAAUUACUAUUUUACCCCUCUCAAUAUUGACAUGAGUCAUUUCUAAUUUGGCUAGUGAAAUUAGUUUUGAAUAUUGAGUAAAACGUGACGUGUAGUGAAAACUUUUGAGUUUGAAAGACUUAAGUUGUUAAAAAGUGAAUUUUGUUGUCCUUUGGAGUUUCGAGACUUGGAAUGUGGAAAUUGGUCUGAGAGAGUUGUCAGUUUCAAAUUCAGAUUCUUUUCAUGGAAUUGAGGUUCUAAGUUAGAAAUUAUUGAAAUUUUAGCCUUUGGGUUGAUUUUGGUUAACAUUCAGGGUUCAGAUGCUCAGAUCAAGUUUUUAACAGUUCCAUUAGAUUUGGGGGAUGAUUUUAAGCCUAGAGGAGGUCUUUGUUUAAUUUUCAGAGGUCCUAAGAUUGAUUUUGCCUUUUCAGGCAUUGUGUUUAUUUUAUUAUGACUUUCACGGGAUUAAGGUCAAUGAGACCUCAUAUUCGUAUUUUGAUGGUUCUAUUGAGUUUGGAAUGGCGAGUUUAUUCUGAUAGUAUAUUUAAUUUGAGUGUAUUGGGUUUGAAUGAAUCCAGAGGGACGUCCAUUCGAAGGAUUUUAUGUUGGUUAAUUUUCUAACUGUGUUUCUGGUGCCAACCCUCCAUGUUUGUGGAGCUUGUGGUCGCGUUCAUAGAGUGGAAAAUAUGGGGACCUUAUGUUCGUGGAGGCUCCACCACAUUCAUGGAAGGUUAAUAUGUUGACCUUCGUAUUCACGGGAGCCCUGCCAUGUUUUCAAAGGGAUGGUUCAUUAGGUCAUACAUUCGUGGGCAGGGGUUCGCAUUCGCGGAGGAUCCUUGGGCAGGAUGUUUUCCAAAAUCAAGGUUUCAACCCCAUUUCCUCCAUUUUUGAGUUCUUAAGCUUGGUAUUGGAGAUUUCAAAGUUGAUUUUGAAGAAACUUUGAUUGGGUUAUGAAUUUGAUUAUUCCAUGAUUAUGGCAAGAUUUUAUCAUUUAAAUUCUAAAUUGAAUUCAAACCUUUUGGGUUUUUCAAGAACUUGGGUUUUUAAGAAAAAUGAUGAUUAUGAGUUGAAUACAACUCUAUUUUUAAAAUGGUUUUCACCAAUGAAUUCCAAAUAUUUUGGAUAACAUAUUCAUGUAAAAAAAUUAGAUUCAAAUCUUAUUUUCGAAAUCGAGUUUUUGAGUUGAUUUGAUCUAUUUAUUCAAAUUACUUGAUAUGGGUGCUGUUAGUUCCAGAAUCUCAUCGUGAAUACUUGUUUGACUAGAUUGUGUUGUUUUGGAUAUCAUUCAGAAAGGAAAAGAUCAAGUCCUAGCUUGACUUUUGAUUGAUUUAAGGCAAGUGAACCUUGUUAAAACUUGUAGAAUCUUGUUGUCUCUUCAUUGUGUGUGUGUUGGGGAGUAAUGGGAACAAGGUGAUGGGUUAGAUUACUCUUAUUGAUUAAUCUUAAUUAUUGAAAUGGGAUUGAUGAAAAAGGCAACAUGAUGAUAAUAGUGUAUUGUAUAUUGUGAAUUGACUUUAGUGUUGAAUUUGAAUCAGUGACUAAUGAAAUACUUUGAUAGUACGAUUGUGGAUGUAAAUUUCCUGAAUUUUCAUCUCAUCAUUAUUAUGUGAAUAUGCUUAUUUGCAUUAAUGCGGAACACUAUGAUGAGAUGUGUAGAGAUUAUGCCGAGGUCAGCUCCGGUGAGUGAUAUUGAUACCGAGGUUUAUUAUGGUAGGCAUAUUGAUGUCGAGCUUUGUUUUGGAAAGUGUUAGCGACACCGAGGUCUAUUCCGAUAUGCGAUGUUGAUGUCGAGGUAUAUUCCAAUAAGAGGUAUUGAGGCUAAGGUUACAUCCCAUGGGUGUAUGGAUCUUGGAUGUUCCCCAUGGAUCCCGACUUGAUAAUUGUGAUUAAUGUACUUGAUACUUGGGAUUGUUGAACUUAAUACAUGUGAGUGAUCAACUUUAUUCUUCCUAUUUGAUGAAAUGUAACUAUUGGACUGUGAUUAUGAAGAAAUGUGAACUAUAUAUUAUGAAGGUUAGGAUGAGCUGAUUUUUGUGUAGGUUGUAGUUGUGGUGGUUUGAUUGGGAUGGAAGGAGUACUCGUAUUCUAGGCUAGUUUUAUCUUCCGUUUAUUAGGUUACUUGCUGAGUACCGUGUUGGUUGGUACUCACUUCUUGCUUCUACACUUGUGUAGGUUUCGAGCCUGAAUCUGUGUGACCAUUCUUCUUCCAUCUUUCUCCGAGACUUUCUGAUGAUACAUUGAGAGGUAGUUGCUUGUCAUCCCGACUGGCCCUCUUGUUCCUUACUUAUUUUAUUGUUCUAUUUUAGAAACAAUGACAUUAGGACUUGCAUUUUAUCUUUCAAUUAUGUAUUUUAUAUUAGUGACUUGUACACAUGACAACCUGGUUUUGAGGUUAUGUUGAGAAUGACUAUGUUUUUUGUGCUUAUGUUAUUGUUAGUUUAUUUCCACUUUUCUUUCGUGUUUUUGGGUUUUUGACUGACUUGUCUUGAUGGGACAAUACGAGUUCCAUUACGUCCACUUUUGAAUCGUGAAAUAGUUACCUUUUAAAGGCCGUCUUGAAGACUUAUAGAUGAUAGACUAGGGAUGUCUUGAAAUUUUCCAAUCGUGAAUUCAUUGCUGCAAAUUUGUGAAGCUAGUCUCUCCUUUAAGAUUACAAUUGGGGGGAAUAGUAGAAGAUGUAGUUCCAGAAGAAAUUUUAGAGGAGGAGAAGAAGGGAGUGAAGAAAGACAUUAUGAGAUCUGAAAAAAUGGUUAGGUAAAUAACAAUAAAUAACAAUAAUGACUUUAAAGUCCCCUGUCCUUGGAUCAAGAGAACUUUGGGUUCCAUAAAAAAACAUUCAAGUUCUUAACUCAAUAUUAUAUAAAAAAGGUAGAUAUGAUAGUUAUGUUUACAGGGGUUUGAUAUCAAUUUUAUACGUAAAGGCUAUAGCUAUUUUACAUCAAGAAGUUGUUUACUUAGAUGAUCCAGAUGUUAUUAAUAAUCAUUUGUACCUCUGCCAAGUCUUCUUUGACAAACCAACUACUGUUGCUUAGGAAUGCUACUUACAAAGUAGAUAUGAAAAGAUCACAAUAUCAUCCGCAUUAAGAACAUUCUAUUAAAAAAUAGAUCUUACCAAUUUGUAUAAGUUGAUUCAAGUUUUACCAUGUUUAAAUUAAAGAUCCAUUCAUGGCAUAAUCCGCUGAGUUUUGGUAUCUGGGAUGGCUUGAUCCAACAACAUCUUUUGAGGAUUGCUUUGUAGCAUCUGAAAUUGUCUGUGAUUGGGAAACAACUUAUACUUGGUUUUUGGUUGGCUUAUGUCCAACAAUAGUUUCAUUCUCAUUUUGUGUACUUCGUUCCAAUUUUUUUUCUAUCAAUAAUUACCUACUCUGCAAGAAUUCUCGAGUAAGAUAACCUGAUAUAGAGUUUGAGCUCCCUUUGAUAUGUUCAAUAUCAAAAUAAAAUAGACAAAAUAGCUUACCAUCUAGCAAAUAUAUGUUUAGAAUCAAGGUUUUGUACAACUUUUUGCAAAAUAGAUUUUGCAGGUUUACAAUCAAUGCGUAGUAAAAGCUUUUAUUUAGUAUAUCUUCUUGAAAUUAUAAAAUGCACAAAUAAUUGCUAAAGUUUCCUUCUUUAUAGUAGGAUAAUUUUGUUGGGUUUUAUUCAAAUUUUGGAUGCCAAUGCAAUGAUAUGCUCGUUGUCAAUUUUUCCUUGUUUCAAAAUACCACUAUAACCAAUAUCUUAUGCAUCUGUUUUAACUAUUUUGAAUGCAGAGGAAUUAAUAAGGGAUAAUCAUGUUAGGUCUUUAGCUUUAAACUUUAUUUCUUUAACGACAUUGGAGUUGAUGUUGGUCCAUGGAGGAGGGGAUUUCUUCAAUCUAUGAUGAAGAGGUUUUAGUAAAUUACUAAGUCCUGGAAUAAAAUAUUCUAUGUGAUUGACACAUCCCAAGAAUCUUUGGAGCUGAGAUUUGUCAAGAAUUUUAUUAGGAAAUAUAUAAGCAAAUUGAAUGGAUCGUUGGAUAGGGAUAAUAGUACCUUGUUGGAUAUUAUGUCCAAGAAACUGAAUAUAUAUUUGGAAGAGAUUGUACUUAUUCUUGGAUAAAACUAAGCCAUUAUCUUUGAUGACAUUGGAGAAAACUUUCAAAUGUUUGAAAUGUUGGUCAAUGCUAGUAGAAAAUACUAGGACAACAUCAAUGUACAUUAUAAGAAAUUUUGAAAAAUGAUUAAAAAUAUCAUUCAUUAUUUUUUGAAAUUUCGAGGGAGUGAUUUUUAGUCCAAAGGGAUAACAUUCCAUUCAUACUGCCCAAAAGGUAUCAUAAAAGUUGUUUUAUGGCGAUCCCUUGUAUAGGGAUAGAGUAAUAGUACCUUGUUGGAUAUUAUGUCCUAGAAAUUGAAUAUUAAUUUUGAAGAGACUAUAGUUAGUCUUGGGUAAAACUGAGCCAUUUUCUUUGAUGACAGAUAUUCCAACCCCCAGGAAGUAGCUAAUAAAAUACUUAGCGCUGCAAUAAAUUUCAUCUAAAAAAACUCCCGUAUAUACACAAAAAAUUUAUGAAGGGAUGGAUACUCACAUAUACUCGAUCUUGAUUGUUCAAACAUCAUAAAGACGAGCAAACACAAAAAUAUGUUACCUAGAUACCAUACCUCAAAGAUUUUGUACAUCUUUUUUCAAAAUAAAUUUUGCAGCUUUACAAUCAAUGCGUUGUAAAAACUUUUAAUUCUGUAAAUCUGGUUGAAAUUUUGAAUUUCACAAAAACAAUUGCCAAAAUUUUCUUCUUUAUAGUAGGAUAACUUUGUUGGAAUUUAUUCCAAUGAUUGGAUGCAAAUGCAUUGAUAUAAUCUUUAUCUCUUUUUUUUCAAAUUACCACCAUAAACAACAUCUGAUGCAUUUGUUUCAACUAUUUUGAAUGAAGAUGGAUCAAGAAAAGAUAGGUUGUGAGAGUAGACAAGCCACCAUUGAUGCAAAAACAAUUGAGUAAUUUAGAGACUAACUGGUUUCCCCAAAGGGAAGAAGCAUGAUUUUUUUGCUAGUGUUAUUUUGAAAAGUGAGACAUUCAUACAUACAUUUUGGUAAUAAAAAUAAUUGUAGUUUUUGGAUUCAAAAGUAUUUAGUACUUGGUUGGGUUCAUGCCCAAUUCUUUGGGUGAGAUUUUAUAUAUAAGUAUGUUCGAAAAAUAAAAGUAAAUAAAUUAAUUAAUUUUUCUUAUAGUUACAUGAAGUGUGGAUAAUUUCACUAACUUUUAGAGUAUAAAAAAAUGUGAGUAUAAUUAGUUUGAGAUUUUAAUGGCCAUUUAUUUAAGUUGCCACUAAAAAUUGAUCAUUUGCAGUUAAAGUUUAUUUUCUGGUAAUAUAUGAAGUUUGAAGAAAAAUUAGUGGCAAUUAGUUUAUAGCACCUAAAUACAUGCCACUAAAAUCCUAUUAUGGUGUAGUGAUGGUAUUUAUAGAAAUUUUGUUGCUUUAGAAACCAAUCGAAGAUCUUAUUGUUGAGAUUUGUCCUUAUUGCAUAGUUUCAGAUGUGUGCCUUACCUUGACUAUGGACUAAGUCGAGCAACUGAAGAUACCUAGACUUACGUUUUAUCCACAUAAUCUUAUGUUCCACUAUAUUGGACAUUGUUUGAACGUGUAUACACCUCAUGAGAAAGUAAUUUGUAUAUUCAUAAAGUUUAUUGAUUCUAAGUUUACCUUAUCAGAUUAAAAUUAAAAGAUCUCAAUUUUCGUAUGAUAUUAAAAUCAAUUCUGAAGGUCCAUACUCGGAGAUGAUGAAGUGAAUUAAAGAAUUAGAACCUUGGAGUUGUAUAUGCCAUGAUUACUAACACUAUCUAUAAACUGAAUACUACUUACACGGAGCUUUAGAAGGAACCAAUGGUGAAAAAUCAUGGUUGAUUCAUUGUUUGUUUCACUUUUAAAGAGAGAAGAAUUGAGCAAUUUGAAAACACUAUAGUACUAGAGCGAUACAACAAUCUAAGUUAGAUUGAUUCUCAAGAACCAAACUUGAUCGUGUACAUUUGUUCUUAAUGUAUGGGGUGGUUUUUGAUUCUCUGCUCUAUGUAAUAACCUUUGUUUUUGAGACCUCAAAUUCAUUAUUCUUUGGGUAGUAAGUAAGGGUGACAAACCCCAUGAAAAAGAGCGAGAAAGCUCGAUGCUUACUAGCUUCAAGGAAAAAAUGUUGACAAACACCAAAGGUUUCUUAGUUAGAGGAUAGGUGCCGCAACUGAAGAUUUUGGAAAAUCCAGCAAUUGUGGUUAGAACUCUAGCUUGGAAUCUCUUACGGCUCGAAUGCCAAUGCUAACAUAACCCUUGUUUGUGGAAAAGUCCUACCAUGAAAAGAUGGGGUAGGUUAUUUGAUGUGGGGUUAGGGAAGAGGUAUAUCACAGUACUUUGACAUCACAAAUACAAUUAUCAAGAAGGAGGAAGAUGGAGGAGAGUGUGAAAAUAUUGAUGAACACCUCAACGGAAAGUGAAAUGAUCAAAAGCAGAGCAAAAGACGUCGAAGCAAUGAUUAUGAGGGAAGUGGAGAAAGAAAGAUUUUCUAAUAAUCAUCUGAUGACAUUAAUAGAGGAUCUCAACUACCAUGGUUUUCGUACCUUAGAAGAGUAAGCUCUCCUAAUAUUUCCUACAAUAAGCAUCAAGGAUGUUGACCUUGCUUGUAUGAUUAACCACAAGACAAAAUAAAAGAGAGAACAAAAUAACAUGUUAUGUUUCAAGCAAAAUACUAUAGAUAACAAAUCUAGAGUGUUAAGCAAUACUUCCCAAUGUCUCGAAUAUAGAUAUUGACAAAAGUGAGUUUCUUUUGAGUAGGGUAUAUAUAGUUGUUGUUCAUUCCAACCUUUGAAGAUCGCUAUUUGUUGCAUAUUUGAAAGGCGAAGUAUGUGAUAAGCCAUGAAGAAAACUUAGUUACCCAAGAAACAAGUUUAUCAGCUUUUGCCCAUUGGACCUAUAAACCAAUAGUGACUAGAAGAUUGCUUCUUUGGUUUGACACAGUUAGCAACUACCGGAUUGUUAGCAUAGAAAAACAAAGACUUUGAUGAAGUAGAAAGAGAAACAACAAACCAACCACAUUGUCAAAAUAACAUAUAUGAAUAGCAGGCAUGUUGCACACAUACUAUAUUAUUUGUUCAAUUAUAAAGAAGAUUAGAACCAAAUUAGACACACGACCACCAUGUCAAUGAGGACUAAAAAUGUCACAUGAUUAUUCUUAAUUUAUAACAAAGUAAUGUCAGAAAAGAGUUGGAUACUGCUCAGCCUGCUGUCUCACUCGUCUCUUAUACUCAACAUUAUCCUGCAAAAUCAAGGUCACAUAUUGUAAUGAAAAGCCAAAAAAUAGGAAAUAAUAUGAUUUACUCAAUUAUCACAUUUCAAAUGCACCAUAUUCUAUGAAUGGAAACUAAAAUUUAAUUUUCUCAUUACCAAUUUAACCAAAAUUUGUAAGUAAUCUAUUGACAUUUGGAAUCCCUCCUACAAUCCAAUAGUAUCUCUAAAACAGAUUUAAUGUAUUUAAUAUAUAGUAAAUUUUAUUUUUUUAUCUAAGCAUCCAAGUAAACGACUUCUCAACAGGAAUCAUCAUAGAAUUUCAGAUAUACAAGCUAUUAUUAUGAGUAGUUCCAAUAGACAAAAUCAAAAUGGCAACUUAAAGAUUUUUUUUUAAAAAAUCUCAAUGAAGUACACAUCAAGCUUGAGUAGUUACCUGUAUGUAUAUAUUAUAACCUUCUAUUUGUGCUAGAUAAUUAGGGCUCGGCCAAUCAAGCAAAUAAUGAAUACCCAUUAGAAUUUGUUUCACUGUAAUGACAGGACUCCACCCCUAAACAAGGUUAUAAAAACACAAUAACCAUAAGAGUAAUCUUGAAGCCGAUAUACAAAUUUACAAAACUAACAAAGUAACAAAACAACAAUGACAAGAACUUACAUGGUCCUGAUUAAGGAUAGACUGCAGACGUACUUUUCCUGAUGGAUAGACAUUAGGAUGAAAGAAACCUUGAGGAAACUUGCACUUGGGUGGCUUAGUUUUCACUAAAGUGCAUUGUCAUUGGAUAAAAGCCUUGCCCAGUCAGUCUGUACCAUAUCAGUUAAAUAUAGAGUUCAGAACCUAAAUAAGCCACAAAAACAUGAAAGUGACCAAAAUAAGCCACUACUUUAGUAAGUAACUAAAAUAGGCUUAGUGGAAGAAAAAAUUCCACUUUAUUUGAUAUUCUAAACGUUUUUCGUUAGUCUCAUAACGUGUAUAUUUUAAUAUAUAACGGAACUAUUUCCUACACUUUAUAAAAUGAAACUAUUUCUUACACUUUAUAAAGUGUAAGUUUUUCUUACACUUUGUAAAGUGGAACUUUUUCUUCCACUUUAUAAAGUGGAAGAAAAUCUUACACUUUAUAAAAGUUACUUUACCUUUUCACUUUCAUGGCUUCCAAACUUCACUUUGAAGUUAAUAGUUGAUGGUCCCAAUCCGACAAUUGAAGCAACCCUACACUAAAAAAUCAAAAUCUUGAAAGAUUGGAGUAGCACAACCCGACAACAUAACAAUCCGACCCUACAAAUUAUAAAAAUUAGGUACUUUUUUUCAUCUCAUAUUUUCAUUACUUUAAAAUGAUUUUGUAAUUUGUUCAAAAUUUCAGCAAGUCUUAUACAAUGUGCAUGCAAUUACUAAAUAUUAAGUUAGAAAAAAAAGUCAUUAAUUUGAAAUAAACAAAAUGAAUUACACUGUUGGAUUGGUAUUGCAAAAUUGUAUUUCACUACAAGAGAACAGGUCAUUAGCGAGAGACUAAAUCCCUAGCUAACUUACAAAAUUCCUAGCUAACAUCGUUUUUGCUAGGAAAAUGACCGUAGCAACCUUUUGUAGCUAAUACGCUCUUAGCUAAAAUUUUGUUAGGAAAACGUUGUUAGCCUAGCUAAUUUAGCUAGAAUAUUUUUCUAGGAAACAUAUCCAAGCAAAUAAUAGCUAGGAUUAUUCCUAGGUAACUUCAUAGCAAACAACUCUCUUUUGCUUGGACAUUUUUUAAGCUAAUAUGUAAACAUCCUAGCUUUUUCUUGGCUUGAUUUGUUAUGUUUUCAUGACCCCUAGCUUACUUUUAGAAGCAACCAAAAUUACUUAAAUUUCACAUAUCAUGAAAUAAAAAUUGAAUCCAUUCAAAUUACACUAAUUCAUUAACUAUACUAUGCAUUAUUUGCACAACCAUUUCAAAAUGGUAUGUCCUUCAGAAAUGAAUAACAUGUAUACAAAUAAAAUUGAACAUAUCUGAAGUUUUAAAAACAUAAAAAUUAGCUCCAUGUCAACUUAAGCUCAAAAACAUCAACAUAAGCUUCUUGUUGGCAUUGUCCUCCAACUUAGCGUCUCCAGCUCCAUUUGUUGGCAUGUUUCUUCAAAUUUAAUGUCUCCUUAUAGUACUUCAAUACCAAUUCAUCCCUUGGUGUAGAAAUCCCAUCAACCUUCUCCUUAAUAAGUUUUUUAUAAAUGUGUUACUAAAAAAAAGAAGAUAAUUAGUCAUUUUGAAUAAUAAAAUAAAUCAAAUAACAAGUAAAGAGACAUAAAUAAUUUGAACUAAGCAAAUUGGUCUAAUGAAGUAUACAUUAGAUUAUUUUACAGGUUUUAACAGAAGAAGAAUGACACAUUAUUAGUAAAAGGAAUCAAACACCAAAAGAUUAAAGACAUCAACGAGUAUACUACUAAAUUUUUAUUGAACAUUUAGGCUAUAAUGUAUGAACAAAGAAGAUAUUUUGGGAGGCUUUCAUACCAUGUAAACUCACACGAGUUCUAUGUUUUUGUAAAACUUUUUUGACUUUGGAUUAAUGAAAGGAUGAAAAUUGUUUAUUUAGAAAAACAAUAACCAUGUUUUUGGUUCACAUGGAUAUCUUAAGAAUGUACUUCAAUUCGUGGGUAUACCUUGGGAAUGUUAUUGGCCAAUCAUUCCAUUUUAAACAACUUUCCAGAAUAAAAAGUCAGCACCAUUCCAUACCCCAUCAUAUAGAGAAACUUCUUUUAAUUUUGGACAGAAGUAUACAAUUAAUCAGAUAGCAUAUUCUCAAACAUAUUAAAGAAAGACACAAUAUAUAAUAUGCCCUUUAACUUAGCUUGAGGUGGCAUCUACACCCUUUAAUUUUUUAUCUGCACAAGUAAACACUUAAACUUGUAUAAAGUUGAAUAAACUUGUAAACGCGUCUUGCGUGAUAUAAUACACAUAUGACACCAUUUAUGAUGAUGUGUAGGAUGCAAAUUGCUAUGUAGGACGCCAAGUAAGACGCAUGUGUUUACUUGUUCAGCUCUAUAUAAGUUGAAGUGUCUGCUUGUGCAUAACCAAAGUUAGAGGGUGUAGACGCAAAAUGAAGCCAAGUUAAAGGCAUGUUUAUGUAUUAUUCCAUAAAGAAAAUAACUACUAUCACUUCUAGUUCCUACUAAUUACCGAAUAAGGACUAGAAUAACAAGUACUCCUUCCAUUAAGCAAAAACAUAGUAUUAUCAGUAUAUCACCAAAACCAAAGCACAUCAAAAUAAAGCUUAGCAGAAAUGCAAAUCAAAAAUUUUAUGUAGUGGCAAUAAAUAUUAACUCCUAAAUAAAUUGAACCAUAACCUAAGUCCUUGAAAUGAGAAACACAAGUGAAAGUCAAUCCAAAUCUAAAAACAAAAGUCAACACCAUUCAUUCUGCAACUCAUAUUAAUUUUAAUUUAGUUAACUUUUCUGCAUCCUUAUUAGGAACACUAAAUGCUUACCAAGCCCUACAUUAACUAACAUAAUUACUACAUAAAAUCUAUACAACAAAGAAACAAGUUAAANNNNNNNNNNNNNNNNNNNNNNNNNNNNNNNNNNNNNNNNNNNNNNNNNNNNNNNNNNNNNNNNNNNNNNNNNNNNNNNNNNNNNNNNNNNNNNNNNNNNNNNNNNNNNNNNNNNNNNNNNNNNNNNNNNNNNNNNNNNNNNNNNNNNNNNNNNNNNNNNNNNNNNNNNNNNNNNNNNNNNNNNNNNNNNNNNNNNNNNNNNNNNNNNNNNNNNNNNNNNNNNNNNNNNNNNNNNNNNNNNNNNNNNNNNNNNNNNNNNNNNNNNNNNNNNNNNNNNNNNNNNNNNNNNNNNNNNNNNNNNNNNNNNNNNNNNNNNNNNNNNNNNNNNNNNNNNNNNNNNNNNNNNNNNNNNNNNNNNNNNNNNNNNNNNNNNNNNNNNNNNNNNNNNNNNNNNNNNNNNNNNNNNNNNNNNNNNNNNNNNNNNNNNNNNNNNNNNNNNNNNNNNNNNNNNNNNNNNNNNNNNNNNNNNNNNNNNNNNNNNNNNNNNNNNNNNNNNNNNNNNNNNNNNNNNNNNNNNNNNNNNNNNNNNNNNNNNNNNNNNNNNNNNNNNNNNNNNNNNNNNNNNNNNNNNNNNNNNNNNNNNNNNNNNNNNNNNNNNNNNNNNNNNNNNNNNNNNNNNNNNNNNNNNNNNNNNNNAAUAAUAAAUCAUAUAAAUUAAUAAAUAAUUGACAAAAUCAAUAAAUAAUAAUCGAAAUAUAAUUAUUGAGCAUUACCAGUCACUUUCAUUGAUAGUUUCGUUCAAAUCAACAUCAUAUCGACCGGUAAGAAUAUUUUGAUAAUGAGUCAUGUUAGAAAAAUCAGUAGAUUGAGUUAUCGGAAAUCCAUCAACACUAUUACGAUUUUCUAAUCAGGGAUGGACGUCGACCGAUAAAGGAGAACGUUGUUGACUAGUCUUAGGCUCCUUCCUAACAUAGAUUUCAAGUAUUGUUAACUUGAUUUGAUCUAUGUAGUCAUUUGGAACCCUCAAAAAGUCGGUCAACGAUUCGUCAUUAUAGAUAAUCCACUCUCCAAAAUUUACUUGUCCUUGUGAUAAAAAUGAAGUAGGGUAUUUUCCGACUAUAAUCAAAUUAUAAUCAGUAUUGUUUAUACUCAUUCUUUUAUAAAUUGAUGAAAGAAAUUUAUAAUAUCGGACAUUAAUUGAAUAUUUCGCAUUGUGUUUGGGAGGACAAUUAUAAUAAGCGGUAUUUCCGUCAUGUAUAAUUUUGCCAUCCCAAUAAAUCGAAACUCUAACUUUUGGUUUAGAAGACAUUUUUUUUUUGAGAUUGAAAUAAAGAAAUAUAGUAGACUUUAUGUUGUAGGUGCUAUCAACUAUGUUUGAACGUCCUUAAAUAGAGAUUGGAGGAUUUUUAGAAUAAAAAAUAAAAUACAGUGUAAUAAUUUUUCCGUUUUUAUGAUAUGUCAAAUCAAUAUAAUUGUACUGCAAAAGCUUAAAUAAAGAGAUAAAAACGUGAAAAAUAUUCCUCUUGAAAACAAAAAAUUUUCUUCCACUUUAUAAAGUGUAAGAAAAACUUACACUUUAUAAAGUGUAAGAAAUAGUUCCAUUUUAUAAAGUGUAGGAAAUAGUUCCGUUAUAUAUUAAAAUAUACACGUUCAUGACUAACAGAAAACGUUUAAAAUAUCAGAUAAAGUGGAAUUUUUUCUUCCACUAAGCCUAUUUUAGUUACUUACUAAAGUAAUGGCUUAUUUUGGUCACUUUUAUGUUUUUGUGGCUUAUUUAGGUUCCGAGCAUCGGGAAGCCUACUCCUCGGGCUGUUCGGUACUUGAAUAUGCUUGCCGCGGAGAAAGACUACUUUUCUAUUCGCUUGCCUGCGCGCCUCUACUCAUGCGGGACUGACUGUGCAAUAUCACUAUUACUGACAAAUAUUAAAAGAAAGAACUAGGAGAAGCAGAGAGUAGAGUAUCAACACUAUAAAAUCUUGCAAAAUCCAUAAUGAGUUUCACAUUAAACCCUAAUGGACUACAAAUAAUAAAAUUCAUAAGCUUACCAAAAGCUUACAACAUUUAUUAGAGCAUUAUUCAGAAACUCAAAAAUAGUCAGAGAAAAGGAAUUUUUCGCACAUGAAAUGUGAAAGGAAUGUCCCGUGAUCAUUUACACAAUUGACUUAUGAUACUAAAACCACUUCAACAAGACAUCCUUUCAUUUAUAUGCAAUUAAUACAUAACAAAAUAUUAAAGUUCAAACCUUAUGGUACUUUUACAAAAGGGAGGUUUGCAUCAUCACAAAGAUCAUAUUUUUCCUAAUCUACAUAUUAAAUCCAGGGAAUCACUCACACAUACAUACCUUACAAGGCUAUAAGGUUAUAACUUUCUUUUGUUUAGAAAAUUCUGAAAGAACUCGAAGGACUGAGUGACUCUCAUAAUAUAAAAAAAUUGAUUUUAGGUUCAUAGGUGAUAAUAUUUUUCAUAAAAUCACUAACUAUAACUGUUGAAGAUAAGGAUCAAGCUGAAGAUAAGGAUUGAGUUGAUCAACAUGGUUCAACUGUUAGAAGUCUUGUUAGUUGUUCAAGAAUUAAAAUCGAACUUUGACUAGGCUAUGUAGGUGUAGUAGUAGUUAACCUCUACUAUUGUAUUUGUAUUUUUAAUAUAUUAUAACUGUAAUACUAGUCUACUACUGUACAAAUUUACAACUCUAUAUCAACCUCUACUCAAAUGUUUAACCAUCAAUACAGAUUUUGAUUUAUCUCAGUUAUUGUUGAGAAUUCUACAUGGUAUAAGAGAAUUAAAAUCUUCCGCUGCCUAAGUAUUGAAUUCAAAAUGAUCACAAGUUUAACUGAAAUGGAUCCCUCUAUCAAUACUUUGUCCACUUAUUCCCUUCACCACCUAAUUGCCUCUUGUUCCAUUAAACUUAAGCUAACAAACUAUCUCAUAUGAAGGACACAAAUGAUGCAGUUGAUUCAUGUGAUGUGACUAACCUAUAUCAUCAAGGAGAAUGAACCAAUUGCGAGUGGUCAUUCUACUGGAAAGUCUGUUGAGAAAGUCGUGGUUAUAAGUGUUGAGGAUAAUGUAGAAUAUAGUGGUAGUGUUGAUGAUUGUAGGAGAAAUAUGUACUGCUAAGGAACUGGAUCUUAGGCACCUUGAUAGAAGAUGACAUGUACUUUAUUGUGGGUUUCUCAACUACCAAGGAGAUGUGAGAAUGCUUAAAUAAGGCCUAUCUACAAGCAGCAAAGAUAAGGUGUUUUAGCUUAAACAAUAACUGCAAAGUAUAGGCUAGGAACCACGAAAAUUGAUGAUUACAUAAAGAAAUUCAAAGGAAUAUGUGAUGGUCUUGAAGCCAUUCACAAUCCUGAGGAUGAAGAUAGAAAAGUAAUGAACUUUAGGUUUAGGUCUCAAGUACAAUUCCUUCAAGAUUUUCAUGCUAGGUAAUGCACCAUAUUCCACUCUUAAUCAAUUUGUUAAUUCUCUCAAGGUUUUUGAUAUGAAAGAGGAUGAAGAAGAAUUGCAACUACAUAACCUUAACAUGGCAUUCUUUGCCCAAAGGAUAAGGGGAAGAGGAAACUACUCUUAGAAAAGUGGAAACAACAACUUCAACUCCAAAGGAAGGGGUCUCAAACCUGUUGGACAAGGAUCAAAUUAAAUACUUAGAAUAAUCAAAGCUUCUAAAGUAUAAAUAAGGAUAGGAAUACUACCGAGUCGUUUAAAAUUUUUGGUAGAAAUAAUGAUUCUACUCUUAAGUGCUUUUACAGGUGGGACUACUCUUGUCAAUAUGUAGAUGAACUACCACAUGCAUUGGCUGCUAUCAAUCUGCAAAAUACAUCAUCUACAUAUGACACUUUGUAUAUGGACUCAAAAGCCAGUAUUCUAUCUAAUUUAAACACUACAGUGGAUUUUAUAAAAUUGUUGUUGGGAAUGGAUCACAAUUAGACAUAACACAUGUUAGGAAUACAACUAGAUCAUGUUUGAAAUAAGAAAAUGUCCUUGUAGUUUCUAAGAUUGCUGUGAAUCCACUCUCAGUUUGUAAAAUUGCUAAGGAUAAUUGUUGCACUCUUGAAUUUGAUGAAACUAACGUCGUUGUAAAGGACAAGAACACAAGGACAAUACUAACCUAGGGAUCUAAGAGAACUGGACUCUAUGCUUUGACUCCUACACAAGAUUAGAACACAUCAGACAUCAUAGAGCAUACUAUAUUAGGACAUCCUAGUUUAAAGUUGUUAAAAGUUUUAAGUAACAGUAGUUGCAUUAAUGUUAAUAGUUGGAAUAAAAUGCAUAUUGUCUGCAGUUGGACAAAAUUUGUAAACUUCCACUUGACUUGAAGAAUAGAAUUGACAACUAACCUUUAUUGAAAACACAUUUUGAUUUGUGGGUUCCUUCUCCUGUUGAAUUUUUUCAGCAUAUGAAAUAUCAUGUAGUGUUUGUAGAUGAUUACACAAGGUAUACAUAGCUUUAUCCAAUGAAAAAGAUGGUUGAAAUUUUUGAAGUAUUUGUUACAUUUCAGAAAAUUGUGUAAAACAAUUCUCUAAAGACAUUAAGAUGUUCCAGUGUGAUAGAGGUGGUGAAUUAAUCAAAACAUACUUCAUUAAAAUUCUAGAAGAUUGUAGUAUUGUUAGGCACAUUUCAUGUCCUAACACACCUGAAAAAAGGAGUCUCAGAAAGAAAACAUAUGCAUAUUGAUGAGAUUGGAUUAACUAUUCUAAUACGUGCUAAUCUUCCUUUGUUUCUAUGAGUUGAGGCCAUGCACUAUUUUUCAUUAAUAGACUGUCGUACUCAGUUUUAAAGAUGGUUACUCCAUUUGUUAGGCUAUAUGGUGAGAAACCUGAUUAAAACAUCUUAAAGGUGUUUAGGUUUAGGUGUUUCACAUAUAUAAAGGGUAGUACCAAGUUUAGCUUGAAGACCUGCUCUUGUGUGUUCAUAGGAUACAAUAGAUUGCACAGGGGAUACAGAUGUUAUCUUCCCUCAACAAGGGAAGUGUAUGUGUCCAAACAUGUUGAUUUUAUGAAAGAACAUUACCUUUUAUCCUCCAAAUCAAACUUAUACUAAUAUUUAUGUCUCACCUGAUCUAGAUACUUUUGUUGAGUUUUUCUCUUAAUUUCCGGCAUAUGAGGAUACUUAUUCAGGGGAAAUGCUUAUACUGUGUCAACAACUAGUGAGAAUCUUGCAUAUAUUAAAACACAGGUUGUUGAUAAUACACAAGCUACUGGUGAUAAUGUUAUUGAACAUAUAACAACACUCAUGCCUAUUGAUGAUGAUAUUGAUGUUGAACAAUCAGAUGCAGUUUCAGAUAAUGGUGGUAAGGAUCAAGUUAAUCAUGCAGGUUUAGAUAGUGGUGGUCCAUCGAAUCAUACUUCUUUUGUGUCUAGUCCACAAGAGAUACACUAAAAGGUUGAUAUAUUAGUAUGAUAUAUGACUGAGAACCAACAAUCUAGAGAAACUACACUAUAACUAGCUGCCUCACUUGAUACAUCUCAUAUACCACAAGGCAUCACAUGACUACUAAACACAAGGAAAAGGUUCAUCACUUAUCUCUAGUUCCUAAAAACAAAGAAGAGAUUGUGAGAGAACCAAAAACUACUAAUGAGGCACUAGAGUCACCACAUUGGCUUGCAGUUGUGCAGAAGAAAAUCAAUGUUUUACAUAACAACAAGACAUGGACAUUAGUGCCUAAAUCGGCUGGUAUGAACCCAGUUAGUUCAAAAUGGGUGUCCAAGACCAAGUUGAAGAAAAAUGGAAUAGUAGAUAGAUACAAAGAAAGACUUGUUGCUAGGGGUAUUUCACAGCUUGAAGGGAUAGAGUUUGAAGAAACAUUUGGCCAUAUAGUCAAGGCCACAACUAUUAGGGUGGUUUUAUCAGUUGCUAUUAGCUCUAAGUUGGAAAUAAGGCAACUUGAUGUCAAAAAUUAAUUCCUACAUGGUCUUUUGGAAUAAGAGGUAUACAUGAGUUAACCUCUUGGAUUUAUUGACUCUAAAUAUCCUCACCAUGUUUUUCUGUUAAAGAUGGCAUUGUAUGGCCUUAAACAUGCAUCAAGAUUUUGAUAUGAUAGAUUUAGCAUGCAUCUCCUACACCUUGGCUUUACUUAUAGUAAGGCAGACCCCUCAUUGUUCACAUUGCAAACUCAUAAAGGUUCAAUAUUCCUCUUGUUGUAUGUAGAUGACAUUAUUGAAAUAAGAAGUAACCAAUUACAUGUCUUUGAGUUGGUUUUACAACUUGGAAGAGAGUUUGUUAUGAAGGAUCUCUGUCCUAUACAAUUCUUUCUUGGAGUGGAGGUCAAAUAUUUUAUGGGAGGAGUUUACUUGAGUCAGAGUAAGUAUGCCGCUGCCCUACUUAACAAGACUGAUAUGAAAUUGUAAAAAGUUAUAGCUACUCCUUAGGAAAAAUUGCUUGGUCAAAAUAAAGGGGUUGGAAGUCUGUAGAUGCCUCUUUGUACAUAAGGAUAGUAGGUAGCCUCUAGUAUUUGACACUCCCAAGGCCUGAUAUCACUCAUGUAGGCAAUCUAGCCAGUCAGUUUAUGCAAUGUCUUAAUAAUGAACACAUUCAAGGAGGUAGAAUGAUUCUCAGGUACAUCAAAUGUACUCUACAAUUUGAACUCAAACAGUCAAACUUAUCUCAUAAUCACCUUGUAUGUUGUAUGGAUAUUCAGAUACUCAUUUGGUUGUGAGGAUGCAUUACCACUCCGAGAUCCACUACAGGCUAUAGCAUCUUCCUAGGUGCAAAUCAUUUUUCUUGGAUUUCCUAGAAACAGCCAAUAGUAGCAAGAUCAAGUGUUGAAGUUGAGUAUAGAUCACUAACCUUUACUGCAACAGAGAUGACAUGGAUCAUCUACCUACUUCAUGAUGUUAGAGUGUACCUCAACACAAUGUCUACAUUGUAUUGUUAUAAUUUGAGUGCUUUGUACAUGAAAGUUGAUGUGAGGCCAAAUAUAUAUAUUUUUAAUCAUUAUUUGUCUCACAUUUAUUAUUUGUAUUUAUCCUUUUUAAGUAUGAAUUUUAUGGAUUGUGCUAAAUAAUGUAUUUUAUUUGUAGGAGUAAAUUGGUGUAAUGCUGAAGAAGUUUGGAGCUAAAACAAAUUAAAGAUGGAAGGUUAAAGAAGGAAAUCAAGCAAGCAGCGUAAUGGAUUAAAAGUUAUAAAAUAAUACAUAAGUUAAAUUGCAAUUCUGCUGCCAUGUGUAAGAAUCUGCAGAUAGGCACAAAAUUUUGAACGCAUAGCUUCACGCGGAAAAUAAAAAGGAAUUCAACUCUGUUUUGGCUUUAGGUUCCUAAUUUGAUUUGGACUUAGUUAUUUUAUUUAGGAUUUUCUAGAUCUAUAAAUAGUUCAAAAAAAUAAUUAUAGAAGAAAAAAAAAAUAUAUAGGGCAUCAAGUAUAAAGUUGUCAAUACUUUUUAGGGUUCUUUACUUCUUCUUUUCUUAGACAUUAGUAGCUAAAGACCCUUGUUAUGGGGCUGCAACUAUGGUUAAUUGUUGAACAUAGAUUUUUUUGAAUUAAUAUUGGUUAUCACUUAAAUCACUUUUGUAUUCUUAUUUUAGUAUUUCAUGCUUGAUCACCAUAGAGAUAAAUAUAUUGCCUAUUCUUGGACUCGGGAGAUGAUAUGGUAGAUAGACCAAAGAAUACAAAAGGCUUGAUCUUCCAUUAAAUUGAGUUGAUUUGUGUUAGUAGUGACGCACGGACGAACACCUAUCUUGGUUAAAAAACAGGAUGAAAUAUAAAUGCUGGCCAAUUAGGACUGCUUAUCCCCACUCAACGAUGUAGUUAUACAACUAAUUGGGGUAGGCGAUUAGAGGUCGGGAGACCAUGAUCAUAAAGUAAACCUUGUAAAUCAGUAAUUUGAUAACCAUAAUUACUUCAUGUAUGAGGUGUGAUAAAUGAAACCCUAUACAUGUUGCAACCCUGGGAUUUUCCAAUCACUGUAAGUAAUUUUAUUUUUAAUUCCUACAUUCUUUUCUUUACAAAUAAAAAUCAAACAGUUUUGGCACUCUUAAAUAAAUAAUUAGACUAGUAUAAUUUAGUAAAAAUUGUUAAUCGACAAGUCAUUUGGGUUCGAUAAUCUGAUUCUUUUAAGAGCCACUAUUACUUGCGCGACCACGUACACAUGCGUGGGCAAUUGGGAGCAACAAAUUUUUGGAGCCGCUGCUGGGGACUUAUAAAUUAACUAUUCUUCUAGUUUAUAUUUUUUCUUUUUAUUUAUUUAUUUAUUUAUUUAUUUAUAUUGAUACAUAGUUUUUUAUAUUAAUUAAUACUCUUCGUGGGAUGAACGGGAAUGAUGAUUAUUCAUGUGUGGUAAGACCUUGUCCUUAUUGCAAAGGAGCCCAAUUUUGGCAACAAUGUCAAUAUAUUUCUGAGGCAGAAUUGUGUGUACCAUCUUUAUCCUAUAGCUUUGUAGUGAUUUUUGGGUCGGUUGUACCGUGUUUUGCUACCCUACUCCAAAACCCUACCAUGAUGAUUCUAAUAAUCUUUGUUCCUUUGAUAGUAUGGAAUCUUGCAGGAAAUUAAUAGAGGAAUAUGAAGAGCGUCGUAGGAGAAUCAUAUAUGUAAUGUCAUACCUUAUAGAUAGAAAAAUGAAGCAUUUUCAAGAUGUUUAAUUUUUUUUUUGCAUACUCAAAAUUUAAGCAAUGAAUUGAAUGCAAAGGUUGCUGCGUUAGACGUUCAACAAUCCAAUUAUGAGUUUUGUGAUACUGAAAAGGCACUCAGAAGUCAAAUAGAGGUUCUAAAAUGGGAGGAGAUACAAUGCAAUCAGACUUUUCUUGAAGGUUACACGUUUGAGAAAGAGUACAAAAAUGAGAAUGUUGUAAAUAAUGUUGCUUUGGAGUCGAGGCAACUUGAAUCUCAUUCAAAACACUUUUCUAUAUUAUGCUUAGAUGGCGACAUGAAAAUCGAGUCAUCUGAACUAAUGAAUGAGUGUAUAGAUGAGGAACAAAGCCCCUACAUUAUAAUGUUUUUUAGUCCACGUAGACAACGACAUUCCUCACAUAAGGGUCAACAAAUGCAAGAUGCAACAUAUAUUACUUAGUUCCUUUAUCUUUAUACCACUGCCCCUACAGAGGAGCAGAAAAAUUGAUGCAAAGUUAGGGGUAAAAUUCAUAAGUUCAAAGUGGAAAGAAAAGUGGUGAAUUUAUUUGUGUCGUGCCGCGACAUUAAAUUAGGCGCUUAUUGGGCGGCAACCCAAUUACUAGUGUCACUUUUUUUGUUUUUUUGUCUUGUUUUUGUAGAUUAGGGGAAGUCUGAGUACCCAAAAAUUUGAAGCGAAGGAACACGUUUGAGUUUAAGUGUGGGGUGCGUACGACCUUUCAUGAAAAUUAAGAGAACAUGCUACUAGCUAGGCCUUAAGGCCUCAUGGAGUUUUCCUAACCCUUGUUUUAAAUUUUAUUUGACUUUUGGGGGGCAUAUCACCUUUUUUAAGUGUGGGGGUGGAGGAAUGAAUUCCUAGUUUGUACUGUUUUAUUGUGUCUUUUCUAUAUUUAGGAUGGGUUCCUUGACUUUUGCUUUCGAUUCUUAUCCCGAUGAUAGUCCCUCUGAACCAAGUGUCUUUAAUUUUUUUAGGAAUAAUUUUUUUUGAGAGAAAAGAAAAGAUCAUUUUGAGUGGUGUGAUACUUGCUAUUUAGGCCUGAUUUUUGAGUAGUGAUUUCUUGUGAAUGCUUGAUUGAUAAGGAAAUUGCAGACUCCGUUAUACCGAGGCUCAUGGUUGUGACUUUGUAUAUAGCUUAUUUUAUUUUGUAGUUUGUUAUGAUUCUAUCUCUCUUAAAAGUGAAAUUGAUCCAUCUUGAUUGAUACUUGUUCUAUGUGUGGUGAGAAUUUGCUUAUUCCAUGUUUCGCAUCUUAGUCUAAAACAUGCACUGCAUGUUAUUGAAGCGAAAUAAAAAGUGUUGCUUUGUUUAGGAGAUGAUAAUAGGCUUUCUUUGAUUUGUCUUGUAAAUUUUAGCCUUUUCAGAUAUUAUAUCACUAGUUAGCCCUUUUGAGCCUGUAACCUUUUGUUGGUAGCCAUAUUUUGCCCUUUACUAUUUUUGAAUCCCUAAGUUGAAUCCCUAGUUUUUGCACCUUGCUUCCUUGAGGAUUGUAGCAUAGACUUAUUCUAAUUAUCAAUUUUGAGAAAAAGGGAUGGUUGAGUGAAAAGGUAAUCAAUGAUAGCUACAAAGUGCUUAAAAAUCUCUCUUUGAAAGAAUGUGAUACGAAAAAAAAAGAAAGAGAACAAAAGAAUGUGACAUAAAAAAAUCCUUUGAAAAAAUAAGAGAAAAAAUGAUUGAAGCAUUCUUGAGAUGAUGAGAAUUACUUGUGAAAUAAUUGUUGAAGAGAGGGCUAAAAAGAAAGAGAAGAAAAUAAUGGGUGAUGCAGUCUAACUUAAGGAAGUGUAAGUCACUAUUAUAUAGUUUUUCUACCCGUUAAAGUUUUGAUUCUAUUCAAGCAUCCUUAAUUAGUUACAUAAUGGCCAAGCCUAUGGUUCUUUGUCCAUAUAUGUGAAUUGUAUUUCUGAGUGUGAGUUGUUCUUUGAUGCUAAGUCCUUAAUUUAUAUUCGAUCUUUUGAAUUGAGUGUGUGGACUAUUUUUUCUUGUGAGGGCACUUGUUUCAUGAUGGAUAUGUGAUUCUAUUAACUUUCUUUGAUGAGAGUAGGUGAGCAAGCUUAAAUUUUAUGAGUUCAAAGUCCUUCCUUGAGGUUAGGAGGUUAGAGGCUUGUUGUUUAUUUGGAUGUGUUGCAUAAUGAGCAGGAAUUGAACUUGAUGUUUUGAAAUUCGUAUAUGGUCUAAUUGUUUGUAUCUACUAAAGUGAUGACAUUCCUAGUAUGAUUUUUUGAGAUGAGCUUUAAUGUUUGAUCGAAGACGAGCAAAAGUUUAAGUGUGGAGUGUUGAUGUGAGGCCAAAAAUAUAUAUUUUUAAUCAUUAUUUGUCUCACAGUUGUAUUUGUAUUUAUCCUUUUUGAGUAUGAAUUUUAUGGAUUGUGCUAAAUAAUGUAAUUUAUACAUAGGAGUAAAUUGGUGUAAAGUUGAAGAAACUUGGAGCUAAGCCGAAUUAAAGAGAGAAGGUUGAAGAAGGAAAUCAAGCAAGCAACUUAAUGGAUUAAAAGUUAUAAAAUAAUACAUAAGUUAAAUUGGAAUUACAAUUGCAAUUCUGCUGCCACGUGUAUGAAUUCGAAGAUAGGCACAAAAUUUGGUAUGCACAGCUUCACGCGGAAAAUAAAAAGAAAUUCAACUCUGUUUUGGUUUUAGGUUCCUAAUUUGAUUUGAAAUCAGUUAUUUUAUUUAGGGUUUUCUACAUCUAUAAAUAGUUCAGAGAAAUAAUAAUGGGAGAGAAAAAAAUAUAAGGGAUCAGGUAUAAAGUUGUCCAUACUUUUUUGAGAAAGAAGUUGUCCAUACUUUUUAGGGUUCUUUUCUUCUUCUUUUCUUAGAUAUUAGUAGCUAAAGAGCCCUGUUUUGGGGCUGCCACUAUGGGUAAUUGUUGAACACCUAUUGUUUUGAAUUAAUAUUGGCUAUCACUUAAAUUAUUUUUGUAUUCUUGUUUUAGUAUUUCAUGCUUGAUUACCAUAGAGAUAAAUAUAUUGUCUAUUCUUUGACUCGGGAGACAAUAAGGUCGAUAGACCAAAGAAUACAAAAAGCUUGAUCUUCCAUUAAAUUGAGUUGAUUUGUGUUUAGGAGUGACUUUCAGACGAACACCUGACUUGGCUACAAAACAUGAUUAAUUGAGUCUCAUCUAUCGAAAACAACAUUUCUACCUCACAUAAGGUAGAGAUAAAGUCUGCAUGCAUUCUACUCUACCAUAUCUAAACCCUAUUUAUGGGGUAACAUUGUGUAUAUUGUUAUUUGAAACGUGUAGUGUAAUUUCUCUUUCUUUCAUAAACUCUCAAAAGGUCCAUUAAGGUUCAUAUAUUAAAUAGGACACUUCAUAACUAAAGCCCCUCUUCCACAAGUAUCCUUCCUUUGCAAUACAAUAUCUACUCCCAUUUUUCUCCAUGGAAAAUCUUUAACCAUAGAAAUAGAAAAAAGGAUUUUCCUGAAUUGUGGAUUAGGAACUAAGAAGGCGAUUGGAAGUUUCUCUAAGCAGUUGCAAUGACCAAGUUGAAACCUUUGGUUUUUCUUUUAUCAAGAAAUUUGUAGAUGGAGAUAACAAAAUACAAGGUCAAUACAAGCCGAGCAUACAUGAGGAUACUCUAAGCUACAAAGCAGAGCCCUAUUAAUCAAUAUAUGCUUCUGACUCAGAUCCCUAUACAUUUACAUAUUAAGCUGAACACCUUUUCUUUUGAUAAGGAAGGUAAUGUGUGUUAUAUUGAUUGUCAAGCUAUAACUAUUUAAAAAAUAAAACGGAGUUCCAUAUUUUCCACAUUUAGACGAAUUAAACUUAACCCAAAAUCAUGAAAGGAAACAUGUAGGCUAAAACUAUUAUCAUCCAAUUAGACAUAACUUAGAUCUCGUUAAAUUUACUUCCUACUCCAAUUACCUAAUUCUAUUCACUUUAACUAAUUCUCUACUACAAUGAAAUAUUCGGCAAACUAAAUCAAAAGAUAAAACUAAAGGAGUAUAAAAAUCCUAGAAAUAAUAAGAAAACUAUGCAAGUCAUAACCAAUAUAGUAGAAUACUUUCUAUAACUGUUGCGAGAAUAUCAAAAUUGAUGUGUCUAACUAUUAAUUAGAUUGUACUAUCUUUUCUUCAUAGUUCCCAUAACAUAGAAUAGAUAAACUUCCUCAUAAAACUAUGAAGUAUGGGUAAUAAUAGCACAAAAUUACUGGUUUUCCACAACAAAGAAGGGAAAAAAUGAUAAACAAUAACCUGCUAAAAGAAGUAGACCAAUUCUAGCCCGAAAUUUUCAAUCACAGACAAGGAAUAUACACCAAACCACUGAAUAUAUACAUGUUUACACUCUUUUACAAUUAUGAGAAUCCAUCAAGAAUUGACACAUUUCACAAUGUCUACAAGUUUAAUUCAACCCUCAUCCUUUAUUUAGAUUUGAUACAGGAAAUGCGAGCGAGCUCACACAUGUGGACACUCUUUUAUUAUUUGUCAUGAUUAAUUUGUAUGUAUCUAAACCAUUUUUCAGAAAGAGUAUCAAAAGACUUCUAACUUUCUCAUUUUUCAUUUGUAAUAAACCAUCCAUACAAAAACUACAAAAGGAGAAAACUUGAAAUGGGCAGUGAAGAAAGGAAGAAAGUUUACUCACCGCAGGUUUUCCAGGGAUAGAACAAUGCCACACCAUCAAAUUAACAGACCCAUCUGGACCAGUUUCAGGCCUAGCCACAAAUCCCUAAGGGAAAAACAUAA
This 27923-nucleotide long non-coding RNA is filed under the name Solanum tuberosum (potato). RNAcentral's name for it is "long non-coding RNA (STUB_LNC007391)". Lineage: Eukaryota; Viridiplantae; Streptophyta; Magnoliopsida; Solanales; Solanaceae. The record is from RNAcentral.